GAUGAACGCUAGCGACAGGCUUAACACAUGCAAGUCGAGGGGCAGCGGGGUAGGAAGCUUGCUUUCUGCCGCCGGCGACCGGCGCACGGGUGAGUAACACGUAUGCAACCUGGCCGUGACAGAUGGAUAACCGGGAGAAAUCCCGCCUAAUACAACAUAAUGCCGGGAGGGGACAUCCCCUGCCGGUCAAAGGGGGCGACCCCGGUCAUGGAUGGGCAUGCGGCGCAUUAGGUAGUUGGUGGGGCAACGGCCCACCAAGCCGACGAUGCGUAGGGGUUCUGAGAGGAAGGUCCCCCACAUUGGAACUGAGACACGGACCAG
This 321-nucleotide ribosomal RNA is filed under the name uncultured bacterium. Its description in RNAcentral is "bacterial SSU rRNA". It matches the Rfam family "Bacterial small subunit ribosomal RNA", at positions 28 to 334 of the family's 1533-position model. The record is from RNAcentral.